CCUACGGGAGGCAGCAGUCGAGACUCAUUCACAAUGGGGGAAACCCUGAUGGUGCGACGCCGCGUGGGGGAAUGAAGGUCUUCGGAUUGUAAACCCCUGUCAUGUGGGAGCAAAUUAAAAAGAUAGUACCCCAAGAGGAAGAGACGGCUAACUCUGUGCCAGCAGCCGCGGUAAUACAGAGGUCUCAAGCGUUGUUCGGAAUCACUGGGCGUAAAGCGUGCGUAGGCUGUUUAGUAAGUCGUGUGUGAAAGGCGCGGGCUCAACCCGCGGACGGCACAUGAUACUGCGAGACUAGAGUAAUGGAGGGGGAACCGGAAUGCUCGGUGUAGCAGUGAAAUGCGUAGAUAUCGAGAGGAACACUCGUGGCGAAGGCGGGUGCCUGGACAUUAACGGACGCUGAGGCACGAAGGCCAGGGGAGCGAAAGGGAUUAGAUACCCGGGUAGUC
This 446-nucleotide ribosomal RNA is filed under the name uncultured bacterium. RNAcentral's name for it is "partial 16S ribosomal RNA". It matches the Rfam family "Bacterial small subunit ribosomal RNA", at positions 338 to 795 of the family's 1533-position model. The record is from RNAcentral.